RNAcentral lists this ribosomal RNA (497 nucleotides) under uncultured bacterium. Its description in RNAcentral is "partial 16S ribosomal RNA". It matches the Rfam family "Bacterial small subunit ribosomal RNA", at positions 28 to 507 of the family's 1533-position model. The record is from RNAcentral.
GAUGAACGCUGACGGCGUGCCUAAUACAUGCAAGUCGAGCGAACGGACGAGAAGCUUGCUUCUCUGAUGUUAGCGGCGGACGGAUGAGUAACACGUGGAUAACCUACCUAUAAGACUGGGAUAACUUCGGGAAACCGGAGCUAAUACCGGAUGAUAUUUUGAACCGCAUGGUUCAAAAGUGAAAGACGGUCUUGCUGUCACUUAUAGAUGGAUCCGCGCUGCAUUAGCUAGUUGGUAAGGUAACGGCUUACCAAGGCAACGAUGCAUAGCCGACCUGAGAGGGUGAUCGGCCACACUGGAACUGAGACACGGUCCAGACUCCUACGGGAGGCAGCAGUAGGGAAUCUUCCGCAAUGGGCGAAAGCCUGACGGAGCAACGCCGCGUGAGUGAUGAAGGUCUUCGGAUCGUAAAACUCUGUUAUUAGGGAAGAACAUAUGUGUAAGUAACUGUGCACAUCUUGACGGUACCUAAUCAGAAAGCCACGGCUAACUACGUG